UAAUAAAUCGACGAUGCAAGACAACAUUCUUCCCCAAUGGACCGUUUAUCUUAUUGGUGGUCACGGGUGACCACCGUGGCGACUUGCUAACAGUUGAUCGCGACGUAUUAUAACGAGGCUUCGUUUAUUUCAACAAACCAUUCGCAUUCGUUGUUUCGUCGUAAGCAAGACGUGCAGAAUAUAUCGUUGAAACGUGUAGAGGAUAUUGGUAAACGGUAUUUGCUCGUUCUAUAUAUAAUAUUAAGUUUCCAGAUCCAGUCAAUCGAAGCAGUUCUCUUCGGUUCUUUCAUGGUGUAGCAGGAGAGUGACUCGAGCCACCGUAUGCUACGAAUAUUACGAAUAGAAUGGAAUGUUAUAGACAAUAAAUUGACAAUUUACAAAAUUGGACACCGUAUAUAACGAAUGGAAUUUCCACGCUAAAUAUAAUAAAUUAAACAAG
Molecule: long non-coding RNA, 439 nt
Organism: Bombus pyrosoma
Lineage: Eukaryota; Metazoa; Arthropoda; Insecta; Hymenoptera; Apidae
Exons: 2
Source: RefSeq, a predicted model, not a curated record